This 253-nucleotide ribosomal RNA is filed under the name uncultured bacterium. RNAcentral's name for it is "partial 16S ribosomal RNA". It matches the Rfam family "Bacterial small subunit ribosomal RNA", at positions 524 to 776 of the family's 1533-position model. The record is from RNAcentral.
GACGAACCGUGCAAACGUUGUUCGGAAUCACUGGGCUUAAAGGGCGCGUAGGCGGCUCAUCAAGUCGGGGGUGAAAUCUUUCGGCUCAACCGGAAAAGUGCCUUCGAUACUGAUGAGCUAGAGCGAGGUAGGGGCAGAUGGAACUUCCGGUGGAGCGGUGAAAUGUGUUGAUAUCGGAAGGAACGCCGGUGGCGAAAGCGAUCUGCUGGACUGUAACUGACACUGAGACACGAAAGCGUGGGGAUCAAACAGG